CAUGUCUAAGUACAAGCCGUGUUUACACGGCGAGACCGCGGACGGCUCAUUAAAUCAGUCGUGGUCCAUAUGGGCUAGAGUUAAUCCUACUUGGAUAACUGUGGUAAUUCCAGAGCUAAUACAUGCAACUCUUAUCCUGACGUAGCGCGGCUUAUCUCACGGUUUGUCGUAGCGCUGACGGAUGCUUUUAUUAGACCAAACCGCUGGGUGCGUGUUCGUGUUUAUUCGCGGAUGCGUACCACUCGUUUAAUGGUGACUCUGGAUAACCUUUUUGACAAGCGCACGUACUCCUCGUGGGACGGCGCUGCCACUUUCGAGUGUCUGCCUUAUCAGCUAUCAACCGUUUGUUACGUGCACACGAUGGCUUUGACGGGUAACGGGGAAUCAGAGUUCGAUUCCGGAGAGGCAGCCUGAGAGACGGCUACCACGUCCAAGGACGGCAGCAGGCACGCAAAUUACCCAAUCCCAGCAUCUGGGGGAGGUAGUGACGAAAUCUAACGAUGCGGGCGCCCUUUCUGGGGCCCCGCAAUCGGAAUGGCCACUUUCUAAACAACCUGUUGAGAACCUACUGAAGGGCAAGUCUGGUGCCAGCAGCCGCGGUAAUUCCAGCUUCAGUAGCAUCUAUUAAAGUUGCUGCGGUUAAAAGGCUCGCAGAUGAAUGUCAGUAUCGAGCGCAGGUCAGGUGGACGCUGGGGCGUGAACAUCCUAGGCGCUUCGCUUGUGUCGAUUGCGGAUGUGUGUGCGCGCGCGUGUUUACGUGUUCGUACGAAAGUGCGUUCAUAUUGCGCGU
This 790-nucleotide ribosomal RNA is filed under the name Uristes sp. n. 1 HR-2015. Its description in RNAcentral is "bacterial SSU rRNA". It matches the Rfam family "Eukaryotic small subunit ribosomal RNA", at positions 54 to 787 of the family's 1831-position model. Lineage: Eukaryota; Metazoa; Arthropoda; Malacostraca; Amphipoda; Uristidae. The record is from RNAcentral.